Astatotilapia calliptera (eastern happy) is the source of this 315-nucleotide long non-coding RNA. Lineage: Eukaryota; Metazoa; Chordata; Actinopteri; Cichliformes; Cichlidae. The record is from Ensembl.
ACUUUUGAUAGAAGACUCAGACAAACAUGUUUAUGGCUUUAUCUUAUAGAACUCAAUAUCCCCGUGCUGGGCAAACAGGUUUUGCAGCCGUUUGAGCUAAGAUUUUAAAAUUAUUCACAUAAUGAAAACCUAUACUUUGUCUCGGGCGAGUUUCCCAUUCAAAUGCAUGUAACAGUGAGAAACACACUGUCUUGGCGAAAUAAAGCGUUUUUCAACCACUUCAUAUAAAUCGCUGUAACUUUUGAUAGAAGACUCAGACAAACAUGUUUAUGGCUUUAUCUUAUAGAACUCAAUAUCCCCGUGCUGGGCAAACAG